CCUACGGGACGCAGCAGUCGGGAAUAUUGCGCAAUGGAGGAAACUCUGACGCAGUGACGCCGCGUGCAGGAAGAAGGUUUUCGGAUUGUAAACUGCUUUAGAUAGGGAAGAAAAAAAUGACAGUACCUAUAGAAUAAGCUCCGGCUAACUACGUGCCAGCAGCCGCGGUAAUACGUAGGGAGCGGGCGUUAUCCGGAUUUAUUGGGGUUAAAGGGUGCGCAGGCGGAAUGUCAAGUCAGCGGUCAAAUUUCGGGGCUCAACCCCGUCGUGCCGUUGAAACUGGCGUUCUUGGGUGA
This 296-nucleotide ribosomal RNA is filed under the name uncultured bacterium. Its description in RNAcentral is "partial 16S ribosomal RNA". It matches the Rfam family "Bacterial small subunit ribosomal RNA", at positions 338 to 649 of the family's 1533-position model. The record is from RNAcentral.